AGGUGUUGUUGGGUAGGGGAGCGUUCUGUAAGCCUGUGAAGGUGUGUCGUGAGGCAUGCUGGAGGUAUCAGAAGUGCGAAUGCUGACAUAAGUAACGAUAAAGCGGGUGAAAAGCCCGCUCGCCGGAAGACCAAGGGUUCCUGUCCAACGUUAAUCGGGGCAGGGUGAGUCGACCCCUAAGGCGAGGCCGAAAGGCGUAGUCGAUGGGAAACGGGUUAAUAUUCCCGUACUUGGUGUUACUGCGAAGGGGGGACGGAGAAGGCUAUGUUGGCCGGGCGACGGUUGUCCCGGUUUAAGCGUGUAGGUGUGUGUUCCAGGUAAAUCCGGUUCACUUUAACACUGAGGCGUGACGACGAGGCACUACGGUGCUGAAGCAACAAAUGCCCUGCUUCCAGGAAAAGCCUCUAAGCAUCAGGUAACAUCAAAUCGUACCCCAAACCGACACAGGUGGUCAGGUAGAGAAUACCAAGGCGCUUGAGAGAACUCGGGUGAAGGAACUAGGCAAAAUGGUGCCGUAACUUCGGGAGAAGGCACGCUGACACGUAGGUGAAGUGAUUUACUCAUGGAGCUGAAGUCAGUCGAAGAUACCAGCUGGCUGCAACUGUUUAUUAAAAACACAGCACUGUGCAAACACGAAAGUGGACGUAUACGGUGUGACGCCUGCCCGGUGCCGGAAGGUUAAUUGAUGGGGUCAGCGCAAGCGAAGCUCCUGAUCGAAGCCCCGGUAAACGGCGGCCGUAACUAUAACGGUCCUAAGGUAGCGAAAUUCCUUGUCGGGUAAGUUCCGACCUGCACGAAUGGCGUAAUGAUGGCCAGGCUGUCUCCACCCGAGACUCAGUGAAAUUGAACUCGCUGUGAAGAUGCAGUGUACCCGCGGCAAGACGGAAAGACCCCGUGAACCUUUACUAUAGCUUGACACUGAACAUUGAGCCUUGAUGUGUAG
This 943-nucleotide ribosomal RNA is filed under the name Salmonella enterica. Its description in RNAcentral is "partial 23S ribosomal RNA". It matches the Rfam family "Bacterial large subunit ribosomal RNA", at positions 1216 to 2141 of the family's 2925-position model. RNAcentral also lists the same sequence under 2 other names. The record is from RNAcentral. Lineage: Bacteria; Pseudomonadati; Pseudomonadota; Gammaproteobacteria; Enterobacterales; Enterobacteriaceae.